GAUGAACGCUGGCGGCGUGCUUAACACAUGCAAGUCGAACGGGAAAUAUUUCAUUGAGACUUCGGUGGAUUUGAUCUAUUUCUAGUGGCGGACGGGUGAGUAACGCGUGGGUAACCUGCCUUAUACAGGGGGAUAACAGUCAGAAAUGGCUGCUAAUACCGCAUAAGCGCACAGAGCUGCAUGGCUCAGUGUGAAAAACUCCGGUGGUAUAAGAUGGACCCGCGUUGGAUUAGCUGGUUGGUGGGGUAACGGCCCACCAAGGCGACGAUCCAUAGCCGGCCUGAGAGGGUGAACGGCCACAUUGGGACUGAGACACGGCCCAGACUCCUACGGGAGGCAGCAGUGGGGAAUAUUGCACAAUGGGGGAAACCCUGAUGCAGCGACGCCGCGUGAAGGAAGAAGUAUCUCGGUAUGUAAACUUCUAUCAGCAGGGAAGAUAGUGACGGUACCUGACUAAGAAGCCCCGGCUAACUACGUGCCAGCAGCCGCGGUAAUACGUAGGGGGCAAGCGUUAUCCGGAUUUACUGGGUGUAAAGGGAGCGUAGACGGUGUGGCAAGUCUGAUGUGAAAGGCAUGGGCUCAACCCGUGGACUGCAUUGGAAACUGUCAUACUUGAGUGCCGGAGGGGUAAGCGGAAUUCCUAGUGUAGCGGUGAAAUGCGUAGAUAUUAGGAGGAACACCAGUGGCGAAGGCGGCUUACUGGACGGUAACUGACGUUGAGGCUCGAAAGCGUGGGGAGCAAACAGG
RNAcentral lists this ribosomal RNA (747 nucleotides) under uncultured Lachnospiraceae bacterium. RNAcentral describes it as "bacterial SSU rRNA". It matches the Rfam family "Bacterial small subunit ribosomal RNA", at positions 28 to 776 of the family's 1533-position model. The record is from RNAcentral. Lineage: Bacteria; Bacillati; Bacillota; Clostridia; Lachnospirales; Lachnospiraceae.